This 1460-nucleotide ribosomal RNA is filed under the name Halomonas sp. IB-NN3-2c. RNAcentral describes it as "16S ribosomal RNA". It matches the Rfam family "Bacterial small subunit ribosomal RNA". The record is from RNAcentral. Lineage: Bacteria; Pseudomonadati; Pseudomonadota; Gammaproteobacteria; Oceanospirillales; Halomonadaceae.
GAACGCUGGCGGCAGGCCUAACACAUGCAAGUCGAGCGGCAGCACGGGAAGCUUGCUUCCUGGUGGCGAGCGGCGGACGGGUGAGUAAUGCAUAGAAAUCUGCCCGGUAGUGGGGGAUAACCUGGGGAAACCCAGGCUAAUACCGCAUACGUCCUACGGGAGAAAGCAGGGGAUCUUCGGACCUUGCGCUAUCGGAUGAGUCUAUGUCGGAUUAGCUUGUUGGUGAGGUAAUGGCUCACCAAGGCGACGAUCCGUAGCUGGUCUGAGAGGAUGAUCAGCCACAUCGGGACUGAGACACGGCCCGAACUCCUACGGGAGGCAGCAGUGGGGAAUAUUGGACAAUGGGCGAAAGCCUGAUCCAGCCAUGCCGCGUGUGUGAAGAAGGCCUUCGGGUUGUAAAGCACUUUCAGUGGGGAAGAAAGCCUUGGGGCUAAUACCCUCGAGGAAGGACAUCACCCACAGAAGAAGCACCGGCUAACUCCGUGCCAGCAGCCGCGGUAAUACGGAGGGUGCGAGCGUUAAUCGGAAUUACUGGGCGUAAAGCGCGCGUAGGCGGUCUGAUAAGCCGGUUGUGAAAGCCCCGGGCUCAACCUGGGAACGGCAUCCGGAACUGUCAGGCUAGAGUGCAGGAGAGGAAGGUAGAAUUCCCGGUGUAGCGGUGAAAUGCGUAGAGAUCGGGAGGAAUACCAGUGGCGAAGGCGGCCUUCUGGACUGACACUGACGCUGAGGUGCGAAAGCGUGGGUAGCAAACAGGAUUAGAUACCCUGGUAGUCCACGCCGUAAACGAUGUCGACUAGCCGUUGGGCUCCUUGAGAGCUUUGUGGCGCAGUUAACGCGAUAAGUCGACCGCCUGGGGAGUACGGCCGCAAGGUUAAAACUCAAAUGAAUUGACGGGGGCCCGCACAAGCGGUGGAGCAUGUGGUUUAAUUCGAUGCAACGCGAAGAACCUUACCUACCCUUGACAUCGUGCGAACUUUCCAGAGAUGGAUUGGUGCCUUCGGGAACGCACAGACAGGUGCUGCAUGGCUGUCGUCAGCUCGUGUUGUGAAAUGUUGGGUUAAGUCCCGUAACGAGCGCAACCCUUGUCCUUAUUUGCCAGCGAGUAAUGUCGGGAACUCUAAGGAGACUGCCGGUGACAAACCGGAGGAAGGUGGGGACGACGUCAAGUCAUCAUGGCCCUUACGGGUAGGGCUACACACGUGCUACAAUGGCCGGUACAAAGGGUUGCGAAGCCGCGAGGUGGAGCUAAUCCCGAAAAGCUGGUCUCAGUCCGGAUCGGAGUCUGCAACUCGACUCCGUGAAGUCGGAAUCGCUAGUAAUCGUGAAUCAGAAUGUCACGGUGAAUACGUUCCCGGGCCUUGUACACACCGCCCGUCACACCAUGGGAGUGGACUGCACCAGAAGUGGUUAGCCUAACUUCGGAGGGCGAUCACCACGGUGUGGUUCAUGACUGGGGUGAA